CGUAGGGUGCGAGCGUUGUCCGGAAUUAUUGGGCGUAAAGAGCUCGUAGGCGGUGUGUCGCGUCGGUCGUGAAAACCUGCAGCUUAACUGUGGGCUUGCGGUCGAUACGGGCAUCACUGGAGUUCGGCAGGGGAGACUGGAAUUCCUGGUGUAGCGGUGAAAUGCGCAGAUAUCAGGAGGCACACCGGUGGCGAAGGCGGGUCUCUGGGCCGAUACUGACGCUGAGGAGCGAAAGCGUGGGGAGCAAAAGGG
Molecule: ribosomal RNA, 252 nt
Filed under: uncultured bacterium
Lineage: Bacteria
Description: partial 16S ribosomal RNA
Rfam family: Bacterial small subunit ribosomal RNA
Source: RNAcentral